Molecule: long non-coding RNA, 274 nt
Filed under: Elaeis guineensis (African oil palm)
Lineage: Eukaryota; Viridiplantae; Streptophyta; Magnoliopsida; Arecales; Arecaceae
Description: long non-coding RNA (EGUI_LNC034208)
Source: RNAcentral
UCCACACCCAAGCAACAUCCUAGUCAACCUAAUGUGACACCCAUUAAAAAUUAUAGAGAUCCUAAAUCUAAUACUCAUGAUACUAGACAAGCCCCAAGUCAAGGUGUCUAAAGUGUCAUAAUGUGGAAUGGGCAGGGAUCGAACCCUACAGGCCAUAUUGACAUCAAAAAUUUGAUUUCUAAGGAAACUACUAGGCGUUGGCAAUCAUGAAAUAAACAGGCAAGUUCAGAGUCUCCAAUUGUCGAUGACAUGCUCAUAUUCUGUGGUGUCAACC